GAGCCCCAACCUUGUUUUUUUGUCGAACGACUCGCGCCCACGCGUGCGUGAAACACACGUGCCUGACGCAGCCCUUGGGCUCUUGGGCUGGCAAUCCUCGACGGGCCUGCUCCUCGGGCCUCGCCUGUCGCUCGGGCUUCCCUACGCUGGAGGUCAUCCCCCCAACAAUUUGCUACUGUUUGAUCCACUGGCCCCCAAGCAACCUCCCCUGCUGGAGGUGCUCUUAUCAUCCCCCAUUCUUGUAUGGUCACGGUUAAGUCACGUCAAUAUUUUAUAUUCUUAUUACUUUUUGUUUGAUUAUUUUUAUAAAAAAAUAAUAUAAAAUUUUGACGUAGUUUAACCGUGACCACACAAAACAUGAGGGGAUGGGGAGAGUAUAUAAAUGGGAGGGCAGACAAUCCACCUCCGUAUUUAUAGACAUGUGUCAAAUUAGAUCAAUUUUUCCGUAUACUAAAAAAACAGCGUCAUAUCAGUUCUACGGUCUAAUGAUUUUUUUUUUUACUUAAAAGUGAGAAGUCUUAAAUUCAAAUCUCGUAGAUGGCGAAUUCGAUGCCAAAUUAGGUUGCCCAUUAUGUGGCUUAGCCGAACUCUUCUCCUCUUAGUGUAAAAAAAGUAUAUCAAUGUACUCAAAAAAAAAAAAAAAAACAACGCCUCGUCAUAUUAUAAUUCAACUCAAUUUAUAAUAAGUGUACAUUUUUUUUUAAUGGUGGCUAGAGAGAAGCUAAAAUGCAUUUAUGAGUCUUUCUGACUUCUAGAAUGAUGAACUACAGUGACGAAAUCACUAGAUGAUCCUCCUUUUUUCUUUUCUUUUUCUUUUUUUAAUACAAGCACAAUAUAACAACUAUGUUGCUCAUACAUAUUAUAGCACAUAAAAAUAUACAUUGCGUGGCAAGUGUUUUAAAUAAACACAACCUAUUUGAGUCAAAUUAGGUCAUAACCUUUCAAUUUUCAACCAAUUUGAGUUCCAAAAUUUUUAAAAUAGGUCAAAAUUAAGCAUUCAAUCCCAAUGCCCAUCAAAAUUGUCAUGCGUUAGGCACAUGAAUGAAUUUUUCAGGCUAUCCAUUUUAUGUGCGGCCUCUAUGUGAUCUUUAUUAUUAAUUGAGGCAUGCCCAUAAAUUUAUUCGCAUGUCUACAAACUUAUUUAUUUAUUUAAGGGGAUUAAGUUUAUGGGCACAUAUCAAUUAUUGAUAGAGGCUAUACACAAAAUGAAUGCAUGAAAUGUGUACUCACCAAGGCAUCCACCAAGGUGAUGAAGACGAGGGUAACAAGGAGCAAUUUCAUCAUUUUUCUCUCGCCUCUCGAUGAGGAUCAAGAGAGAUGGUUUGGGUUUUAGGGACAAACGAAGCGGGAUGGGGAUGGUGCGGAUUUAUUAUUGGGAGCAUUUUGGUCGGUUAUAUUUAUUUACACUUAUAGUGAGAAACCUCAAGUUCAACUACAUUGAUGACAAGUUCAAUACUUUUGUAGACCUAUUUAACUGAAGAAUUAUAGGGAGGGAGAAAGGUGCAAUGGUAAGGAGAUAGAGAGAGUUUGGUGUAAUUAGAGAUGUGUGUUGUCUUACUCUAUUGUGUCUUUAUUUAUAUUAGUAAGAAGGUAAGUUUCUUACCCUUUAGGUAUUACAACUAAAUUAGGACACUAUCUAAAAGAUACUGUAGAAUUCUAAUAAGAUUUACACAACUACAUUCCUAACCUAACUAGGACUGCAAUAGAUAUUUAAUUAUUACAGUUUUACAAUUAUUUUCCACUCCAUUGGGCUGAAAUGAGGUCUAAUGGUUUAGAGCACUUCCACCCCUUUCCAAUCUCUUAAGGGAUAGUUGAUUUAGGGCUGGUUUGGUAUUGCUAUGCUUUGAAAAAAAGCUGCUUCUGCUGUGCUGUGAAAAUAAGUGGCUGUGAAAUAAAGUUGUAGAGUGUUUAGUAAACUUUUUUGUAAAAAUGCUUUUGAAAAAAAAAACAGCAUUAUAAUGUUUGGUAAACUUUUAUGUAAAACUAAUGUGAAAAAAAACUGGUUUUUCAAAGCUGGGUUUUGCAGCUUCUUGUUUUUGGCUUUUCUUUCACCCAAAAUUGUGAAAAAAAACUAAAGCUGAAUGUUUACCAAACACAAAAAAGUUCCCAGCUUUUUUUCAUACCAGUUUUUUUUUUAAUCACCUCAAUCCCAAACUGCACCUUAAUCCCCCCCUCCCAAACCAAAAAAAAACAACUCCAACCCGUUUCAAUCAACUGGGCUAUGGGGGAGCCCAAUUGCUCACCCAGUGAGUAAUCGAAUGGCCCAACCCCCAAGGGUAGUGAUGCAAGGUUGACAUUACGGUGACGUCAGCCACUAUUAAAAAUUAUAAAAAAAAUUAAAUUAAAUAAAAUACAAAUAUAAAAUAUAAAUAUAAAAAAUUAUAAUUUUUCUAUAAAUAUCUAACCGUGUUCUUCCACCUUACACCACAUUUUACCAUUUUCAAAUACUUUUAACAAAUCCUUGCACUAUUCAGUUCAGGGUGGCAAUGCACUUAAAUAAUUACUAUUUAGUAAAAGUAGUUACUGUUUACCUGAGGAUUAUAUUACCUAUUGCCAGGGAGCUUUUUAAAGAUGGAAAUGCUCUUAUGGGCUUAGUGGGCCGUCAGACCCAUAUAUGGUCUU
RNAcentral lists this long non-coding RNA (2622 nucleotides) under Malus domestica (apple). RNAcentral describes it as "long non-coding RNA (MDOM_LNC003963)". Lineage: Eukaryota; Viridiplantae; Streptophyta; Magnoliopsida; Rosales; Rosaceae. The record is from RNAcentral.